RNAcentral lists this long non-coding RNA (282 nucleotides) under Elaeis guineensis (African oil palm). RNAcentral's name for it is "long non-coding RNA (EGUI_LNC032683)". Lineage: Eukaryota; Viridiplantae; Streptophyta; Magnoliopsida; Arecales; Arecaceae. The record is from RNAcentral.
CCAGUCCAAGACAUGCAGUCGCGAAUACUAGAUUACAUGAGCAUCCUUACACAAUAACACCAUUGUUAGCUGUGGAGUUUGUCUAGUUAUCGUGUUCCAUUUGCCCAGGGAUAGGCUUUCAUUGGACACUGUUACCUCUUAGAUGAAAAAGCUUGGAGAGAAGCAAAGAAAUAUAUGUAUAGCUGGAUUUAACCAUUUUUGAAUUGUUCUCUGAUGGGCCAAUCAGAUAUGAUCAGGUCUAUAUUGGACAAUAAGGAUCCUGAUCAUCCAAAUUCUUAUGUG